RNAcentral lists this ribosomal RNA (463 nucleotides) under uncultured bacterium. Its description in RNAcentral is "partial 16S ribosomal RNA". It matches the Rfam family "Bacterial small subunit ribosomal RNA", at positions 28 to 507 of the family's 1533-position model. The record is from RNAcentral.
GAUGAACGCUGACAGAAUGCUUAACACAUGCAAGUCUUUGGCGAAGCUGUGCUCGCCCAGCCUAGCCAAGGCGGACGGGUGAGUAACGCGUAAGGAACUUGCCCUGCAGUCAGGGAUAACAGACGGAAACGACUGAUAAGACCUGGUAAAGUCAGGCGGACUCAUGUCCAGCCUGAUGAAAAGAGAUGCUGCAGGAGAGCCUUGCGUCCUAUUAGCUUGUUGGUGGGGUAACGGCCCACCAAGGCGAUGAUAGGUAGCCGGCCUGAGAGGGUGGACGGCCACAAGGGGACUGAGAUACGGCCCUUACUCCUACGGGAGGCAGCAGUGGGGAAUAUUGGACAAUGGGGGCAACCCUGAUCCAGCAAUUCUGUGUGUACGAUGAAGGUUUUCGGAUUGUAAAGUGCUUUCAGCAGGGAAGAAAAAAAUGACGGUACCUGCAGAAGAAGCGACGGCUAAAUACGUG